Molecule: ribosomal RNA, 829 nt
Filed under: uncultured bacterium
Lineage: Bacteria
Description: bacterial SSU rRNA
Rfam family: Bacterial small subunit ribosomal RNA
Source: RNAcentral
CGGGGUUAGUGGCGCACGGGUGCGUAACGCGUGGGAACCUGCCUUUAGGUUCGGAAUAACUCAGAGAAAUUUGAGCUAAUACCGGAUAAUGUCUUCGGACCAAAGAUUUAUCGCCUUUAGAUGGGCCCGCGUUAGAUUAGAUAGUUGGUGGGGUAACGGCCUACCAAGUCGACGAUCUAUAGCUGGUCUGAGAGGAUGAUCAGCCACACUGGGACUGAGACACGGCCCAGACUCCUACGGGAGGCAGCAGUGGGGAAUAUUGGACAAUGGGCGAAAGCCUGAUCCAGCAAUGCCGCGUGAGUGAUGAAGGCCUUAGGGUUGUAAAGCUCUUUUACUAGGGAUGAUAAUGACAGUACCUAGAGAAUAAGCUCCGGCUAACUCCGUGCCAGCAGCCGCGGUAAUACGGAGGGAGCUAGCGUUGUUCGGAAUUACUGGGCGUAAAGCGCGCGUAGGCGGCUUUUUAAGUCAGGGGUGAAAUCCCGGAGCUCAACUCCGGAACUGCCCUUGAAACUGGAAAGCUAGAAUAUUGGAGAGGUAAGUGGAAUUCCGAGUGUAGAGGUGAAAUUCGUAGAUAUUCGGAAGAACACCAGUGGCGAAGGCGACUUACUGGACAAUUAUUGACGCUGAGGUGCGAAAGCGUGGGGAGCAACAGGAUUAGAUACCCUGGUAGUCCACGCCGUAAACGAUGAUAACUAGCUGUCCGGGCUCAUAGAGCUUGGGUGGCGCAGCUAACGCAUUAAGUUAUCCGCCUGGGGAGUACGGUCGCAAGAUUAAAACUCAAAGGAAUUGACGGGGGCCUGCACAAGCGGUGGAGCAUGUGGUUUAAUUC